UAAUGUGUGGUGAUUGUAGUGAGUAGAAUGAAUUGUUCAAUAUCAAAGUUUGAAAUAACAAACAUUGCACACAGCAUCAAAUAUAAAAUAGCAUUCACUUCUAUCACUACUAUCAAGAGAUUACAUGGUAUUAAGAUAAGAUGUGAGUAAAACCCCAGUCGGCCGCUAGUUCCCACAGUCAGCUGAUAGGCGGCAUCAACAACACAACAACACUCACCCAAAAGUCUGAAGCAUCUUUAUCUCUGUGUAUCAAGUCUUCAAAAGGAAUAGUACAGUUUGCAACAAAAUCAUCAGGCGGAAUGGCAGCAUCAUGGAACACUGUGAUGCCCAAGCUG
This is a non-coding RNA of Plutella xylostella (diamondback moth), 335 nucleotides long. The record is from RefSeq and is a predicted model, not a curated record. NCBI's taxonomy places the organism in Eukaryota, Metazoa, Arthropoda, Insecta, Lepidoptera, Plutellidae.